RNAcentral lists this long non-coding RNA (2745 nucleotides) under Marmota monax (woodchuck). Lineage: Eukaryota; Metazoa; Chordata; Mammalia; Rodentia; Sciuridae. The record is from RNAcentral.
GUGCCCACUGGUAUUCUGAGUGGUGCACGUGGACCUCCUGCCUCUCCUACGGACCCAAGGCCGUGAACCCAUUUACAGCUGAGGAGUGACGCUGGGAGAUCCUUCGCCUUGGCCUGGUGAGGAGUGUGGGCAGGUGUCGUCGGGGCUCCGCGUGUCUCUGGAGCUGACUGAGAGGCGCAGUGUGUCCGAGGCCCUGGGAGUUGAGUCUGUAGGGCAGGUCUGUGGGGAGCUCGCUGGGGGGGCUGCCCUCUAGGGAGGAGCUGGGUUUGCUGGUGCGGAGUCAGCUUCGCUGGUCACCACGGCCUGAACCUCAGGCAGAGAUCCCGAGUACAGCCCGGGGUCUGGUGUGAUGGCGUGGACAGGACUUCCGAAGCCCUCUCCAGGCCUGGGCUGUGCACAUGGCCAGCGGACGUGGGUCGGAGGGGCUCUGGGCAGUGCUGCCUGGAGUUAAGCUCUGCAGAGGGGACAAGAGCCCCAGGGCUGAGGGUAGCUCCCCUCUGUGCCUGGGCUGGUGGGAGCAGCCAGUGGGCGUCACGGGAUGACGACGUCAGGGAGAAGGAGGCUCAGGAAAAGGUUUGCAAGACUUCACUGGCUCACAGAGGGAAGUCGAGUCCCGCCAGCCAGUUGCGUCAUUCUGUUGCUUCCAAACUUCCUCCUUGGACUUCCUCAUUUCUGUAAGAGGCAGCGUCUCCCGGGCUCCUCCAUCCACUCCUCGGGGUCAUUCCUGCUUCCUCUCCCUCUUCUCUGACCCACAGCUCCUCCUCUGACCCUGUGGACUCUGCUCCGUGCUCGUCACUAGUGCUCCUGGGAGGAGAUCCGCCGGCGUCUGCUCAAGAAUGGGGGUGGCCUUGAUCACUUGUCAACCUGGAGCAGGAAACAGCCCCCCACCAUCCUCCUCACAGGGCGAGGGUGAUGGCAGCUUCUAGGAGGGCAGUUCCCGAGACGAGGAAGAGUCUCCCUCUGAAGGGCUUUCCAUCGAGGAGUCCGGUGCGGGGAAGGGCUCCUCUCCUCCCCAGACCUGCCCUCCGAGCCCAGAACAUGACCGAGAAGCAGUCCUGCUCCCCGGGUCAUCACGACUAGGAUCUGAACGCUCACGUGUUGAAGGCCUGUCCCCGUGCAGGGUGUUCGCCUUUGAGGGGUGAUUGGUUGGAUCAUGGGGGCUCUGACUUCAUCAACGGAUUAAUCCACUCAGGGAUUCAUAUUCUGAGGUUUUGAGGAAAGGAUUUUGUUAUAAAAGUGAGUGCACUGUUCUCUCUGUCUCUCUCCCCGCCAUGUUGUUCUGCCCCAUCACAGCCCAUAACAAUGGGUCCAGGGUCCAGGGGCUGAAAUCUCUGACACUAUGAGCCAAAAUGAACCUUUCCUGCUCGAAGAUGGUGUUUUUCAGGCAUUUUGUCACUGCAACAGAAAGCUGGCUAAAAGGUGGGUGGAAUGGAGAGAACCACAGACCCGUACAGGAUGCUGGGGUGCAGCAGAUCCUAUACCCAGCUAAACUAUCACCCAACCUGCUGGUGGAAAUUUCACCAGUGUGAUGGCACCUGAGCCCGGUGGAACUUAGGGCUUGUCUAAUUUGGAGCGACUUCCAUUUCACUUAAUCCUCUGGGGACAGCUGCCUGCACCGCUACCACCAUUGCUGCCUCUGCUUCUGCUGCUGCCAGCCUGAGGUCGCCUGGGGGUCUUCUUUCUAGGCUAGGGCAGAAGCCACUGCUGCGCCCAGAGGUCUCUUCCUGGGCACGGCCUUGGUUACCCCGGACAUGAGUUCCCUCACUACCUCAAAACUACUCUACGAUUUCAUCUCACCCCUGUCAGAAUGGCAAUCAUCAAGAAUUCAGGCAGCAAUAAAUGUUGGUGAGGAUGUGGGGUAAAGGCACACUCAUAUACUGCUGGUGGGACUGCAAAUUAGAAAGCAGUAUGGAGAUCUGAAAAGAAAACUGGGAAUGGAACAUACAACAUACCAUGUGCACGCCGCCCGGAACUCCUAAGGGAAGGAAAAUGAGAAGAAGAACCCAAGGACGGCGGGAAUCGCCCACAUUUGGAGGAACCUGAGGACCACGUGGGCCCUGGACUGUAUUCUGAGCAUCCGGGUCUCAGCACUGGCUUGAGGCUGAAACGGGGCGAGGACCGGGAUUUUGCAUAGAACAUAGCCCAGCUGAGGAGGAACACAGCCUCGAAUCCUGCGAUUCCUCAGACUUUGAAAUGUGCUCAGUGAAAGGCAGACACCAAGUGCCCGGUGGCAAGGGGGUCCACCCACAGGCCACAGGCCAAGGAGGUCAUCCAGAUGCAGAAAGCAGGAGCUGGGGCGUGGGAACGUGGGGACCGCUUACCGGGCACAGGGUUCUCUUUGGGGGCUAAAAUGUCUGGGAACUAAACACAGGUGGAGAGAGCGUGAUGUGCUGUGUGCUCAGUGUCGCUGGACCGUGCACUUCCAAGUGCUCAGUGGCUACUUGGGUUAUAUAAAUUAUGGUUCAAUAACAAAAAGGGGAAAAUGAUAUGAUACCCUAUAAAUUCCUUACACCUUAAGGAGGCACCUCAUGUCCUAUUGGGGAGUUCGGGCAAUAAAGGAGUUUCUGUUUGAACCUACAAGUGCCUCAUGGCGGCUCGGUUAUUUUGUGCCCAGCCAGACUGUGGCAACCUUUGCUCCCACUCUCACAGGGUGUCUGGUCUGAUUCCCAGGUUUUUGAUCCACUCUGAGUUGAGUCUUGUGCCUGGUGAGAGAGCGGGGUUUAGCGUCCGUCUGCUGCUUGUGGC